Molecule: ribosomal RNA, 598 nt
Filed under: uncultured bacterium
Lineage: Bacteria
Description: bacterial SSU rRNA
Rfam family: Bacterial small subunit ribosomal RNA
Source: RNAcentral
UUUGGGACGAACGCUGGCGGCAUUCCUAACACAUGCCAAGUCGAACGCGUGCCUUCGGGCACGAGUGGCGGACGGGUGAGUAACGCGUGGGAAUUUGCCUUGGGGUACGGAAUAACCGCGGGAAACUGCGGCUAAUACCGUAUACGUCCUUCGGGAGAAAGAUUUAUCGCCCCAAGAUGAGCCCGCGUCCGAUUAGGUAGUUGGUGAGGUAACGGCUCACCAAGCCUUCGAUCGGUAGCUGGUCUGAGAGGAUGAUCAGCCACACUGGGACUGAGACACGGCCCAGACUCCUACGGGAGGCAGCAGUGGGGAAUAUUGGACAAUGGGGGAAACCCUGAUCCAGCCAUGCCGCGUGAGUGAAGAAGGCCUUAGGGUUGUAAAGCUCUUUCGGUGGUGACGAUGAUGACGGUAGCCACAGAAGAAGCCCCGGCUAACUCCGUGCCAGCAGCCGCGGUAAUACGGAGGGGGCAAGCGUUGUUCGGAAUUACUGGGCGUAAAGGGCGCGUAGGCGGAUGAUCAAGUCAGACGUGAAAGCCCCUGGGCUCAACCUAGGAGGUGCCUUUGAAACUGAUUGUCUUGAGUACCGAAGAAGGAUAGC